GACCAUUUGAUCCGCCCAUGGAUGACAUACCAAGGAAGAUAGUCGGUUGAGCAAGAAGCUAGCUGCUUAUGAUUUUGUAUGAUCAAGCAUGCACAUGUAAAAAAGAUAGUUUGUGCCUUUAAUUAUUACGCAAUUUAACUUGAGCAUCAUAUAGAAAUUUUUCAGUUCCACCCUUGAGUUAGAAAGAAGAUGAAUUGGUCAAUACAAUUGCUUCUGCACUUGAAGCUUCUUAUGAAAUAUGGCCUUUUUAUAGUUUUCUGCCAUUAUGGAGCUUUCUUUUAGCCAUGCAUCUCUGAAUUUAUAGAACAAAGCAUCCAGCAAAAGAAAAAACCUGACACAUCAACAAGGAGACAAAUGGAACUUAAAAAACAAUAUGACAAACCAACACACGAUGCUUGCCUCUUUAAAGCAUGCAUCCAUUUCUUUGGUUGGUGCAUUAGAGUGACUGCAAAACUAUCUGCUAAUACUAGAUUGAUUGGACAAGGCUUCUUCUUAGCAAAUAUGGAAGCUUAUGCUUACGCCUUCUUGACAAGUAUAUGAUUUAUUAACCACACUAACACUAUUACUAUAGACACAAUAGCUGAAAUAAGAAAAUUCUAUGCCGAAAAAAUAAAAUGCACCCCAAUCCUCUAUGUAUAUUCAAACAUUUGUCAAGAGAUACCAAAAUGGCCACUUCUCCAAAUCCUCAGUGCUCAUAAAACCAUGUAUGAUUCAAUACUU
RNAcentral lists this long non-coding RNA (720 nucleotides) under Phoenix dactylifera (date palm). RNAcentral's name for it is "long non-coding RNA (PDAC_LNC017960)". The record is from RNAcentral. Lineage: Eukaryota; Viridiplantae; Streptophyta; Magnoliopsida; Arecales; Arecaceae.